This 383-nucleotide ribosomal RNA is filed under the name Escherichia coli. RNAcentral's name for it is "partial 23S ribosomal RNA". It matches the Rfam family "Bacterial large subunit ribosomal RNA", at positions 1350 to 1735 of the family's 2925-position model. Lineage: Bacteria; Pseudomonadati; Pseudomonadota; Gammaproteobacteria; Enterobacterales; Enterobacteriaceae. The record is from RNAcentral.
GGUUCCUGUCCAACGUUAAUCGGGGCAGGGUGAGUCGACCCCUAAGGCGAGGCCGAAAGGCGUAGUCGAUGGGAAACAGGUUAAUAUUCCUGUACUUGGUGUUACUGCGAAGGGGGGACGGAGAAGGCUAUGUUGGCCGGGCGACGGUUGUCCCGGUUUAAGCGUGUAGGCUGGUUUUCCAGGCAAAUCCGGAAAAUCAAGGCUGAGGCGUGAUGACGAGGCACUACGGUGCUGAAGCAACAAAUGCCCUGCUUCCAGGAAAAGCCUCUAAGCAUCAGGUAACAUCAAAUCGUACCCCAAACCGACACAGGUGGUCAGGUAGAGAAUACCAAGGCGCUUGAGAGAACUCGGGUGAAGGAACUAGGCAAAAUGGUGCCGUAACU